UUCGUCUAUGCGCGAUUGUAUAGAAAUUUGGUUUAACUUUUGUGGCUUAGAUAUGAUCCAAAUCAAGGACACUGCCAGGUGGGGAGUUUGACUGGG
Molecule: ribosomal RNA, 96 nt
Filed under: Asterionellopsis glacialis
Lineage: Eukaryota; Bacillariophyta; Plagiogrammaphyceae; Rhaphoneidales; Asterionellopsidaceae
Description: partial Eukaryotic large subunit ribosomal RNA
Source: RNAcentral